RNAcentral lists this ribosomal RNA (825 nucleotides) under uncultured Planctomycetota bacterium. RNAcentral describes it as "bacterial SSU rRNA". It matches the Rfam family "Bacterial small subunit ribosomal RNA", at positions 28 to 867 of the family's 1533-position model. Lineage: Bacteria; Pseudomonadati; Planctomycetota. The record is from RNAcentral.
AACGAACGUUGGCGGCGUGGAUUAGGCAUGCAAGUCGAACGGGCCGCAAGGCCAGUGGCGCAAGGGUGAGUAAGGCGACGGUAACCAACCCCGGGAUUGGGUAUAGCCGCGGGAAACCGCGGGUAAUCCCCAGCGACGCGACGACGCCGGCAUCGGCGUCUCGCCAAAGCUCCGGCGUCCCGGGACGGGCUGUCGUGGUAUUAGCUUGUUGGCGGGGUAACGGCCCACCAAGGCUCUGAUGCCUACCGGGCGUGCGAGCGUGGCCCGGCACACUGGGACUGAGACACUGCCCAGACUCCUACGGGAGGCUGCAGUCGAGAAUCUUCGGCAAUGGGCGCAAGCCUGACCGAGCGACGCCGCGUGGAGGAUGAAGGCCUUCGGGUUGUAAACUCCUGUCGAGGGGGGAAAAAGGCCCCGCAAGGGGCUUGAUUGAUCCCUGGAGGAAGCACGGGCUAAGUUCGUGCCAGCAGCCGCGGUAAGACGAACCGUGCGAACGUUAUUCGGAAUCAUUGGGCUUAAAGCGCGUGUAGGCGGGUCCGUGCGUCUGUCGCUGAAAUCCCCCGGCUCAACCGGGGAACGGGCGCGGAUACGACGAGCCUGGAGGGGCAUAGGGGGACCUGGAACUUCCGGUGGAGCGGUGAAAUGCGUUGAGAUCGGAAGGAACGCCCGUGGCGAAAGCGAGGUCCUGGAUGCCUACUGACGCUGAGACGCGAAAGCCAGGGGAGCGAACGGGAUUAGAUACCCCGGUAGUCCUGGCCGUAAACGAUGGGUACUGGAUAGGGGGCUCGCCGAUGGGCUCCCUGUCGUAGGGAAACCGUGAAGUAC